AGGACGAACGCUGGCGGCGUGCUUAACACAUGCAAGUCGAGCGGAAAGGCCCUUCGGGGUACUCGAGCGGCGAACGGGUGAGUAACACGUGAGCAAUCUGCCCCUAGCUCUGGGAUAGCUCCGGGAAAACCGGGAUUAAUACCAGAUACAACCACUUUAGACAUCUUUUGUGGUGGAAAGGAUUCCGGCUAGGGAUGAGCUCGCGGCCUAUCAGCUUGUUGGUUGGGGUAACGGCCCACCAAGGCGACGACGGGUAGCCGGCCUGAGAGGGCGACCGGCCACACUGGGACUGAGACACGGCCCAGACUCCUACGGGAGGCAGCAGUGGGGAAUAUUGCGCAAUGGGCGAAAGCCUGACGCAGCGACGCCGCGUGGGGGAUGAAGGCCUUCGGGUUGUAACCCCUUUCAGCAGGGACGAAGCGAAAGUGACGGUACCUGCAGAAGAAGCGCCGGCUAACUACGUGCCAGCAGCCGC
This 475-nucleotide ribosomal RNA is filed under the name uncultured bacterium. RNAcentral describes it as "SSU rRNA". It matches the Rfam family "Bacterial small subunit ribosomal RNA", at positions 26 to 518 of the family's 1533-position model. The record is from RNAcentral.